UCGCACGUCCGACGUUAUCUGUCAAAUCCCAUAUAAAUUUCGUCCGAUAAAAUCGCAUCCGAUGAGCGUUGCCACCGCCCUUAAUCUAGCUUUUGGUUAGGUUAUGCCUGUGGGUUAACUACUGCAUAUUUCAAUUCAGCCGUUAAGUGCUUUUGUGUUGUAUUGUGCGUUAAUAAAAUCAAAACAAUAGCACCAAAAACCUAUCAGAUAAACCAUAUCUUAUUUUGUGGACGAUACAGGGUUUUACAAUUGAUUGUAGACUUCCUGCUCAUUUUUUUUUUAAUUGUCGCUAUUGAUUUCUUACCAGCAGCAUAUAAUUUGGGUUGAGCGCUAUAGAUUUUUGAAAAGGUGCAAUUGAUUUCAACAGGCCAUUUUCUGACAGCUUUACCAGAGGCGCGUUUAGAACCCCUACAGUGAAAGAUCGAUAUGCUGUAGAAUCGGUUACUGUUUUUAAAUGCCGUCUGUAAUUAGUGUAAAGCAAUAAAUUUGCUAUGAAAAUCGAUUAUUUACUUAAAUACUGAUUUUACAAAUACAUAACGCAAGUUGUAGCAACAUUUAAAAAAUAAUAUCAUAUAAAAUAAAAAUAUCCACCGGUGUUUUUCAAAUUUGAAGAUAUGGAACUAGGCACAUAAACGCAGAUCACGAAAACGGAAUCGCUCAAUCCGCCCCACGAUCACCAAAACACACAAACACAAAAUAGAAACAAACGUGUUGCAAACAGUUCGCAACUAUAAAUUUGAUCAUAUUGAUACAACAGUGCCUCGUCGUGUACCAAUAGGUGCGUCAACAGUAUUUAUCUUCCGGACGGGAUUUGAUAGCAGUUGUAGCAGCGGUCUGUUCAAACAUGGAUGCAUCAGUUGCCGCAUCUCGACGCCGAAACUAAACAGAUUCUCCUAAGGAAAUUGCUCACGGACUUUGGUCAUCUUGUGUCAAUUUGAUAUUAGGUUUUUUUUUUGGUAAAUUCAUACAUUUUUUAGUCUCAACUUUGACACACCGCUUGCAGAGAUUGGUGAGAAUCAUCCUGUACCUUACGUUCAGAGGCUUACGUUAGACUUUUCCAUCGUAGUUACUCAGUGCGCCAGUUUCCACUCAAACACGUUGUUGUGGCGGCAGUAACAGUGUAGCACACUCUACUAACAGGUGUUGUAUCUACAUAAAGUUGUUCUAUUUUCUAGCCGGUAAGAGAUCAUUUCCUGGAUAGCAGUAAAACUAUUAGGAAUAUAAAAAUAAUAAGGAACUAUAUAAUCAAUAAAGCAUGAUACCAUGGGUUUAUUUUUCCCUUAUCAGUUCAAAGAAUCUUAACAGCUAUUGGUUUUGGUAUUAAUUAAAGGCAGGAUAAGUUCAUAAAAUAAUUAAACAAUUUAAACGUAACUAGGGAGUUCAUCUCUAUCACUUCAUUACAUCACAGUUGUUCAUACAUAAAUUCAAGAUCAGAUCAGUUUAAAGCUAAUAAAAAAAAAACAAAAAUAAUUCAAA
Molecule: long non-coding RNA, 1476 nt
Organism: Anopheles gambiae (African malaria mosquito)
Lineage: Eukaryota; Metazoa; Arthropoda; Insecta; Diptera; Culicidae
Exons: 3
Source: RefSeq, a predicted model, not a curated record